AGUGAGGAAUAUUGGGCAAUGGGCGCAAGCCUGACCCAGCGACGCCGCGUGAGUGAUGAAGGCCUUCGGGUUGUAAAGCUCUGUGGGAAGGGACGAAAACAGCCACGGCGAAUAGGCGUGGUUCUUGACGGUACCUUCUUAGAAAGCACCGGCUAACUCUGUGCCAGCAGCCGCGGUAAGACAGAGGGUGCAAACGUUGCUCGGAAUUACUGGGCGUAAAGCGCGUGUAGGCGGAUUCGCAAGUCGGUUGUGAAAUCCCCAGGCUCAACCUGGGAACUGCAUCCGAAACUGCGAGUCUUGAGUGCUGGAGAGGGAAGCGGAAUUCUUGGUGUAGAGGUGAAAUUCGUAGAUAUCAGGAGGAACACCAGUGGCGAAGGCGGCUUCCUGGACAGUAACUGACGCUGAGACGCGAAAGCGUGGGGAGCAAA
This 428-nucleotide ribosomal RNA is filed under the name uncultured Sandaracinus sp. RNAcentral describes it as "bacterial SSU rRNA". It matches the Rfam family "Bacterial small subunit ribosomal RNA", at positions 353 to 772 of the family's 1533-position model. The record is from RNAcentral. Lineage: Bacteria; Pseudomonadati; Myxococcota; Polyangiales; Sandaracinaceae.